Molecule: non-coding RNA, 3206 nt
Organism: Macaca mulatta (Rhesus monkey)
Lineage: Eukaryota; Metazoa; Chordata; Mammalia; Primates; Cercopithecidae
Source: RefSeq, a predicted model, not a curated record
UCACUGCACCUCCCAGGUUCAAGCAGUUCUGCCUCAGCCUCCCGAGUAGCUGGGAUUACAGUUACAUCAGAUGCAUUGUCUGGUGCCUUUAAGUAGUCUCUGAAAUCUGACUUCUCAGCCUUUUGGAUGGCUCCAGACGGUCAUGGCCCCUUGGCAAGUAUGGCCCCUUCUCAUACCUGGGCACAGAGGCCGUUUCACUCGUUUUCUGUGAUAAAAACACCGUAGUAAACAUCCUCCGUCCUGUGUAACCUCAUGUCCACAUUGCUGAUUGUUUUGUUUAUUUUCUGAUACAUUUCUAGACAUGAAAUGCUUGGAAGCCCUGCUGUGCCCAGAGCUGGCCAGGUACUCAAGGGAGGGUGUUGGGCUUCCCAGAGCCACGUGUCCACACCUGAGGACAGCCUGGACCCAGCUGUAAGGAACAACGUGCACUUCUUCAAUGUCUCACUCUCUCUUCCACCGCUUUGUCCAUGAUGUCACAGUACCCCUUGCCUCCCCUCCCAAUGCCUGUCUUGCUAAUUCUUUCUUAUCUUUCCAGACUCCAGCAUAACCUUCUCCAGGAAGCUUUUCCAGAGCCCCCAGGCUAGGAACCUCCCCGCAACCCCUGAACUCAAGCCCCAGCAGCCUGUGCCUGCACCAUCUCCAUCAGAGCUGAAUCUCUCUGGGUCUCUGGGUAACAAGUGCCAUUUCUUUGUUGUUUUCUGUGUCCCCCAAGGACAAAGCUCAGGCUGGAUUCAUCUCGGAAUUCCCACCACCAGGGGUAGAACUGGCUCUUUUCAAUUUCAGUCAAUGUUUGUUGAGCAAAGGAGUGAAGAGUUGGACAAAUGAAUGAACGCAUGAAACAGCCCGAGUGGGGAAGCUGAAACUCAGGCAUCGGGGACCUGGGAGAAGCAUCCGGUCCAGGCGGACGGGGUGGAGGGGUUCAGAGUAGGGGCCCCAAGUCAGGAGUGGGGAGGCAGGGACGGCAAGACCUCCUUCCAUGAAAGGAGGCUGGGACUGGGGAACCAGGUAGUGCAAUGCGAUGAGGGAAGGGGGCUGGCAGGGGGACUGGCCCGAGGAGUCAGAGGGAGGAGGCACCACUGGGUUAUAGACAAGGACAUUCUACGAGAGAGAAAUGUGUCAUGGGCUCUGGAGCCCCUGUCCAGGUUCAAAUUGUGACCCUGUGCCAGGGCAGCUUCUUUGUGCCUCAGUUUUUCCUGUAAAAUGAGGAUACUAAUACUUCAUUCAUUCGUUUUUUUUUCCCCUCAACAAACAUUUGUUGUAUGUCUGCUGUGGGCCCAGGACAGGAGGCUGAGAGGGAGCUGACCACCGUGGUCACACAGCUAAGCCCUGCAGCUGAGAUCUGACCCCAGUUUGCCUGUCACAAGUUCUGUUUGUGCCCCAUUGUCUGCUUCCUGGGGUUGUUAUGAGGGCUGAAGAAGGGGCAGGCACAGAGGAGACACUUACUAUAUGAUCAUUGUCCUCCUAGAGUAUCAUCACCAUCAGGUGGACUUCAGUGGCCAUCCCAGGCCUCCACAGCUCAACCACAAGAUCUUGGAGAAUGUCCUUAUCCCUCCAAGCCUCAGUUUACCUUUAGGGUGACCAACCAUCCUGGUUUUCCCAAGACUGAGGGUUUUCCUGGCACAGUCCCAGGCAAACUGGGAUGGUGGGUCACUGAUAUAGUUUGGCUCUGUGGUCUCCACCAAAUCUCACCUUGAAUUUUAAUAAUCCCUACGUGUCAAGAGCAGGACCAGGCAGAGAUAAUUGAAUAAUGGGGGCAGUUUCCCCCAUGCUGUUCUCAUGAUAGUGAGUGAGUUCUCACGAGAUCUGAGGUUUUAUAAGGGGCUUCCUCCUUUGCUCAGCAUCACUCUCUCUCCUGCCGCCCUGUGAAGAGGUGCCUUCCACCAUGAUUGUAAGUCUCCUGAGGCCUCCCUAGCCAUGCAGAACUGUGCGUCAAUCAAACCUCUUUUCUUUAUAAAUUACCCAGUCUCGGGUAUUUCUUCAUAGCAGCGUGAGAAUGGACUAAUCCAGUCACCCUGGUUUUCUCAUCUCUAAUACAGGGACCACCUGCCUCCCAGGGCUGUUGUGCAGAACAGAAAUAAGCCUACGGAAAAGGCAGAAAACCAUGGAGCCAGAAUUCUAGGUCUGGUUACAUGAAUACUAAAGACUUUUGCAUGCCAUGGAAUUCCAGGCAUGAAAAAGAACGAGGCGGUCCCGUGUACUGCUGUGGAAGAAGCUCUGAGAUACAUGUGUUUUUUUUGUGUGUGUGAAAAAGGCCAGAUACCUUUUUCUGGCCUUUGUGGGGCAAAAGGCAUCUUUGUGGGGAGCGCUUCUGUUAGUACCAAGUUGGGGGAGGCAGGAACACACAUGCACGUGCUCCAGUGCACACAUGGGUUCUCCCGGGAGGGGACUGGGGGCUGAGGAGAAAAGACUUGCUUUUCACUAUACAUCCUUUUGCCUUCUUUGAAUUAUUUUAACCCUUUGUUUUCAGUAGCUGGCCAAAAAACUUCCCAAGCUUCCAUGUGUCAAAAAGAACUCACUGAACAAGAUUAAAAGGCCAAAGUUAGGGAGUAGGAACUGUGUCUAGCUCAGGGCCCAGCAUCUAAGGAGUGCUCUGUGAAAGGCCUUCUCCCCUCUCCCACUCCUGACCUUGCUGACUGCUGGGAGUGCAGGGGCAACUCCCCCAGUGCGGUAUUUGUGAGGCUCAAAUGCAAGCUCAGGCUGGGGAGACUGCUCUGGGUUCCAGGCAGCAUCCUGCCUAAGCCCUGGGUGUCCCAGAGGUCCCUGACUCCCUUCUCUGCCUGCAUGUCUCAGGUCUCCCUCUGGCCAGUUCUGAGGUCCUGCCCUGCCUUGAGCAGAGGUGGCAGAGUUGGGCCCACCGUGCUGGGUAAAUGUCCCGGUUUCACAUACCUCCAGAUUGCAGGGACCUGCGUAUGCUGCUGCUGCUACGGAAACCAGUUCUGGCUCUGCCCUUGGGGAGAGGGAGCCACAGUUGAUUUAGGAAGAGGCUCCAGACGCAGCCUGAGACUACCAAGCAGGCCUGACCCCCACAGACCCUGCCUCUUGUGAGCGCCCAGACUCAGCCCUGCCUCAGGCUACCAGCCAUGUGGCCAGCCACUUUUCUUCUUUAAUUUUUACCAUCACACAAAUAUUUCAAGAAAAUAUUCUCAUUGUAAAAUCUCAAACAGUAAUAAAAUGUAGUGAAUAAAAGGCCAAGUAAUUCUUCUUUA